AUAAAUGAUUUAUACAAUUGAAACAAUAAACAAGAAAUCCAAAAAAAAUAAAAAAAACUGGAGUCGAUCAACCUUAAUCGAAUACCAGAACAUAGUCGAUUAGCUUAAUCGACUAUGAACAUGUACAUAGUCGAUUAAGGUUUCAGCCACAAAUAAACCCAAAAUCGGCCUCCACAUCGUCCCCACACCACCCAGAGCUUCUGCCAUGGCCGAACCCGUCAUAUUUUGAGCAUGUUCAGCUCCACCAAUUAAGAAAACUAAUUUAAAUUAAUUUAAUCCCAAU
Molecule: long non-coding RNA, 283 nt
Filed under: Erythranthe guttata (spotted monkey flower)
Lineage: Eukaryota; Viridiplantae; Streptophyta; Magnoliopsida; Lamiales; Phrymaceae
Description: long non-coding RNA (EGUT_LNC003674)
Source: RNAcentral